Molecule: ribosomal RNA, 1425 nt
Filed under: bacterium
Lineage: Bacteria
Description: bacterial SSU rRNA
Rfam family: Bacterial small subunit ribosomal RNA
Source: RNAcentral
CCUACACAUGCAAGUCGAGCGGUAGCACAGAGAGCUUGCUCUCGGGUGACGAGCGGCGGACGGGUGAGUAAUGUCUGGGAAACUGCCUGAUGGAGGGGGAUAACUACUGGAAACGGUAGCUAAUACCGCAUAAUGUCGCAAGACCAAAGAGGGGGACCUUCGGGCCUCUUGCCAUCAGAUGUGCCCAGAUGGGAUUAGCUAGUAGGUGGGGUAACGGCUCACCUAGGCGACGAUCCCUAGCUGGUCUGAGAGGAUGACCAGCCACACUGGAACUGAGACACGGUCCAGACUCCUACGGGAGGCAGCAGUGGGGAAUAUUGCACAAUGGGCGCAAGCCUGAUGCAGCCAUGCCGCGUGUAUGAAGAAGGCCUUCGGGUUGUAAAGUACUUUCAGCGGGGAGGAAGGUGUUGAGGUUAAUAACCUCAGCAAUUGACGUUACCCGCAGAAGAAGCACCGGCUAACUCCGUGCCAGCAGCCGCGGUAAUACGGAGGGUGCAAGCGUUAAUCGGAAUUACUGGGCGUAAAGCGCACGCAGGCGGUCUGUCAAGUCGGAUGUGAAAUCCCCGGGCUCAACCUGGGAACUGCAUUCGAAACUGGCAGGCUAGAGUCUUGUAGAGGGGGGUAGAAUUCCAGGUGUAGCGGUGAAAUGCGUAGAGAUCUGGAGGAAUACCGGUGGCGAAGGCGGCCCCCUGGACAAAGACUGACGCUCAGGUGCGAAAGCGUGGGGAGCAAACAGGAUUAGAUACCCUGGUAGUCCACGCCGUAAACGAUGUCGACUUGGAGGUUGUUCCCUUGAGGCGUGGCUUCCGGAGCUAACGCGUUAAGUCGACCGCCUGGGGAGUACGGCCGCAAGGUUAAAACUCAAAUGAAUUGACGGGGGCCCGCACAAGCGGUGGAGCAUGUGGUUUAAUUCGAUGCAACGCGAAGAACCUUACCUACUCUUGACAUCCAGAGAACUUUCCAGAGAUGGAUUGGUGCCUUCGGGAACUCUGAGACAGGUGCUGCAUGGCUGUCGUCAGCUCGUGUUGUGAAAUGUUGGGUUAAGUCCCGCAACGAGCGCAACCCUUAUCCUUUGUUGCCAGCGGUCCGGCCGGGAACUCAAAGGAGACUGCCAGUGAUAAACUGGAGGAAGGUGGGGAUGACGUCAAGUCAUCAUGGCCCUUACGAGUAGGGCUACACACGUGCUACAAUGGCGCAUACAAAGAGAAGCGACCUCGCGAGAGCAAGCGGACCUCAUAAAGUGCGUCGUAGUCCGGAUUGGAGUCUGCAACUCGACUCCAUGAAGUCGGAAUCGCUAGUAAUCGUAGAUCAGAAUGCUACGGUGAAUACGUUCCCGGGCCUUGUACACACCGCCCGUCACACCAUGGGAGUGGGUUGCAAAAGAAGUAGGUAGCUUAACCUUCGGGAGGGCGCUACCACCUUGGA